This 240-nucleotide unclassified non-coding RNA is filed under the name soil metagenome. RNAcentral describes it as "partial contains 5.8S ribosomal RNA, internal transcribed spacer 2, and large subunit ribosomal RNA". The record is from RNAcentral.
AACCAUAGAAACCUGCGGAGUACCUGCGGAGGGAUCAUUAAUGAAUAAAUUUGGAUUAGACUGUUGCUGGCCUAAGGGCAUGUGCACGCCUAUUCCGACUUUAUAACCACCUGUGCACUUUGUGUAGAUCUGAAUUAACUCUCGAGAUUCAAACUCGGCUUGAAGGAUUGCUGUGCAUUAUUGCCAGCUUUCCUUUAUUCUUUCAGAUUUAUGUUUUAUUAUACCCCGUAUUAAUGUAUU